CCGGCGCACGGGUGAGUAACACGUAUCCAACCUGCCGUCUACUCUUGGACAGCCUUCUGAAAGGAAGAUUAAUACAAGAUGGCAUCAUGAGUCCGCAUGUUCACAUGAUUAAAGGUAUUCCGGUAGACGAUGGGGAUGCGUUCCAUUAGAUAGUAGGCGGGGUAACGGCCCACCUAGUCUUCGAUGGAUAGGGGUUCUGAGAGGAAGGUCCCCCACAUCGGAACUGAGACACGGUCCAAACUCCUACGGAAGGCAGCAG
RNAcentral lists this ribosomal RNA (259 nucleotides) under uncultured bacterium. Its description in RNAcentral is "partial 16S ribosomal RNA". It matches the Rfam family "Bacterial small subunit ribosomal RNA", at positions 95 to 354 of the family's 1533-position model. The record is from RNAcentral.